UAGAGAGAGACAUGCGCGCAUAUCAAUAAGCGGAGGAAAAGAAACUAACUAGGAUUCCCUUAGUAACGGCGAGUGAAGCGGGAAGAGCUCAAAUUUGAAAUCUUCAAGGUUCUACCUUGACGAAUUGUAGUUUAAAGAAGUGUUUUCUGUUGGAAUUUUAGUAAAAGUUCUUUGGAAAUAGGACAUCAAUAGAGGGUGAGAAUCCCGUAUUUGACCAUUAUCUUCCAGCUGUGUGAUACACUUUCAAAGAGUCGGAUUGUUUGGGAAUGCAGUCCAAAAUGGGUGGUAAAUUUCAUCUAAAGCUAAAUACUUGGCGAGAGACCGAUAGCGAACAAGUACCGUGAGGGAAAGAUGAAAAGAACUUUGAAAAGAGAGUUAAACAGUACGUGAAAUUGUCAGAAGGGAAGCGUUUGACACCAGUGUUGUUUUCUCGAAAAUCAAUUAAAAAUGCUGGAUUUUGUGUUGUAUUGACUUUAUCAGCUUUCUGCACUUUUUCUUGUCCUUUUUUAAUGCACUUUUCGUUUAACAAGUCAACAUCAAUUUCUUUUGUUGUAAAAGGGUCAUUGGAAGGUGGCUUUCUUUUCGGAGAAAGUGUUUAUAGCCUUUGACUUCUGCAAUCGGAGAGAUUGAGGUCUGCAGCGUAGAUCCUUCGGGGUUAGAUACAUUUGUGCUAAGUUAUAGCCUUUCAUAGACAACUUGUUGACUAUGAUCAGUCAUGUAGCUUACUCGCUUAUGUUAUUUUACCUACGCUUAGGAUGUUGACAGCAGUAUAGACUGU
RNAcentral lists this ribosomal RNA (778 nucleotides) under uncultured Neocallimastigales. RNAcentral describes it as "partial large subunit ribosomal RNA". It matches the Rfam family "Eukaryotic large subunit ribosomal RNA", at positions 23 to 633 of the family's 3401-position model. The record is from RNAcentral. Lineage: Eukaryota; Fungi; Neocallimastigomycota; Neocallimastigomycetes; Neocallimastigales.